Molecule: long non-coding RNA, 942 nt
Organism: Daphnia pulex (common water flea)
Lineage: Eukaryota; Metazoa; Arthropoda; Branchiopoda; Diplostraca; Daphniidae
Exons: 5
Source: RefSeq, a predicted model, not a curated record
UUUACGAUUCAAAGGAUUUUCCAGUGUGCCGCUAGAUGGUGUUGUAUUGUUUUUAAAAUGGCGAAAUGUGUGAACGAGUUAUGUCAUCUUCUGUAUUAGAAUUUUCAUGUUUUACUGCCAAAAUCAACCAAUUAUUUACAUAAAAAAUGUACCUGCUGUCUGGUCAUCAGAUUAAAUUUGGACCCUUUUUUAAGAACAAAUUGCUCAACACUUUCUGCAACUCACACUCUCAGCUUCAUCUACAUCAUCCUCUAACAUUUAAGACAAAACUUCUAGCUGUUUUUCCCAAAAGUUGUGGAAUUGGAUAUAUGGUUACAGGUUCAUUCUUGCCUGAAAGAUGUUUACACCUUUGAACACUUUUGAUGGGGUUGUUGCGUCAUGAAAUUGUAUUGCUGACAUUCCCUGCAUCUCCCACUCCAUAGCUUCAAGAAACGAGUAAUAGGAAGCCUACAACAGAUUGAGGAAUUCAUAGGCUGUGUGGUAUGCCAUUGGAUUUCGCGAGUCAGCCGCCGAUGUCAAUCUACAACGCAGUUUCUUUAUUGGAAUUGUGUGGCCUGGCACAGAGAUCCUUGAUGCUGGCCUUUGUCCAUUACAGAAGAGUGACUUCUACCAACUUUCUACUCCAUCCUUAUCUUCGCUACUCACACUCAUCUAGCUGCUCUGCUUAUUAUGCUGCUUAACAAUUUGUCGUACUUCACUGACGACCAGUCGCUUCCGUCCGCCUGUCACUCUCCACGGAAUUAUGCCCAGGUAAUGCAGAGGAGACGUCGAGAAGAUGGAAUUCCGAGACUCGUCAUCAACGUGGAUCAUCGUCUUGUUGGUAUUAAUUCGUUAUGUGUUAGUUAACCCGUUGGCUGCCACGCCUUUGUUCUCCCCUGCACGGGCCGCGCUGUUCGGUCUCGUGGUUUACAAGCCGCGGGGUCGGAAAGUCGCCAAGCCCAA